UGUGCAAUAAUGUGUCGCUUCAAAGCACCUAGCAGGGUAAUAGAGAUUUUUUGGUGUCAAAUAGAGUAGUUUUUAGUACGAGUUGCCAUUUACAUUAUAUUAGACAGGAGUCGCCGUGAGAUGCCGCAUUGGAGGCAAAUUUGAAAACGAAAAAGUGGUUACUGCGAAGAAUUUUCAUUUAACUUUUAUUUAAGAAUUUACAUUGAGUUACGUAAUUUAGUUAUUUGUAUG
Molecule: long non-coding RNA, 231 nt
Organism: Bradysia coprophila
Lineage: Eukaryota; Metazoa; Arthropoda; Insecta; Diptera; Sciaridae
Source: RefSeq, a predicted model, not a curated record